CAGUCGCCGCGGUAAUACGAAGGGUGCAAGCGUUACUCGGAAUUACUGGGCGUAAAGCGUGUGUAGGUGGUUGUUUAAGUCUGUCGUGAAAGCCCUGGGCUCAACCUGGGAAUUGCGAUGGAUACUGGGCGACUAGAGUGCGGUAGAGGAUAGUGGAAUUUCCGGUGUAGCAGUGAAAUGCGUAGAGAUCGGAAGGAACAUCUGUGGCGAAGGCGACUAUCUGGGCCAACACUGACACUGAGACACGAAAGCGUGGGGAGCAAACAGGAUUAGAUACCCGCGUAGUCCCUGUCUCUUAUAC
This 301-nucleotide ribosomal RNA is filed under the name uncultured bacterium. RNAcentral's name for it is "partial 16S ribosomal RNA". It matches the Rfam family "Bacterial small subunit ribosomal RNA", at positions 509 to 807 of the family's 1533-position model. The record is from RNAcentral.